This 484-nucleotide ribosomal RNA is filed under the name uncultured bacterium. Its description in RNAcentral is "partial 16S ribosomal RNA". It matches the Rfam family "Bacterial small subunit ribosomal RNA", at positions 30 to 507 of the family's 1533-position model. The record is from RNAcentral.
AUUGAACGCUGGCGGCAGGCCUAACACAUGCAAGUCGAGCGGAUGAAGGGAGCUUGCUCCUGGAUUCAGCGGCGGACGGGUGAGUAAUGCCUAGGAAUCUGCCUGGUAGUGGGGGAUAACGUCCGGAAACGGGCGCUAAUACCGCAUACGUCCUGAGGGAGAAAGUGGGGGAUCUUCGGACCUCACGCUAUCAGAUGAGCCUAGGUCGGAUUAGCUAGUUGGUGGGGUAAAGGCCUACCAAGGCGACGAUCCGUAACUGGUCUGAGAGGAUGAUCAGGCACACUGGAACUGAGACACGGUCCAGACUCCUACGGGAGGAAGCAGUGGGGAAUAUUGGACAAUGGGCGAAAGCCUGAUCCAGCCAUGCCGCGUGUGUGAAGAAGGUCUUCGGAUUGUAAAGCACUUUAAGUUGGGAGGAAGGGCAGUAAGUUAAUACCUUGCUGUUUUGACAUUACCAACAGAAUAAGCACCGGCUAACUUCGUG